CUUGGGGUGGGGACCGGGUGAGGGGCCUGACGGCAGAGUCGGUCCAGAACUGCCCGGACAGCGACGCACAGCGAGGGAAACCUGACCUGAAGGACAGAAGAGGAAGGAAGCAGGCUUUGCCACAAAUGUCUGCAGAACUCUGGCUGGCCCCACCAAGAAGACAGCCC
This is a long non-coding RNA of Pan troglodytes (chimpanzee), 167 nucleotides long. RefSeq lists it as uncharacterized. The transcript has 3 exons. The record is from RefSeq and is a predicted model, not a curated record. Lineage: Eukaryota; Metazoa; Chordata; Mammalia; Primates; Hominidae.